GUGGGGAAUCUUGCGCAAUGGGCGAAAGCCUGACGCAGCCAUGCCGCGUGGAUGAUGAAGGUCUUAGGAUUGUAAAAUCCUUUCACCGGUGAAGAUAAUGACUGUAGCCGGAGAAGAAGCCCCGGCUAACUUAGUGCCAGCAGCCGCGGUAAUACGAAGGGGGCUAGCGGUGCGCGGAUUUACUGGGCGUAAAGGGCGCGUAGGCGGACAUUUAAGUCAGGGGUGAAAUCCCGGGUCUCAACCUCGUAACUGCCUUUGAUACUGCGUGUCUUGAGUAUGAGAGAGGUGUGUGGAACUCCGAGUGUAGAGGUGAAAUUCGUAGAUAUUCGGAAGAACACCAGUGGCGAAGGCGACACACUGGCUCAUUACUGACGCUGAGGCGCGAAAGCGUGGGGAGCAAACAGGAUUAGAAACCCCGGUAGUCC
Molecule: ribosomal RNA, 425 nt
Filed under: uncultured bacterium
Lineage: Bacteria
Description: partial 16S ribosomal RNA
Rfam family: Bacterial small subunit ribosomal RNA
Source: RNAcentral